GUAUAUAUAAAGCGUCGGUUAUCCGACUAUGGCAAUAAACGGCGUAUGUAAUAAGCGUCAUGGACCCGGGGGCAGUACCCGGCGCCUCCACCACUUAGUAAAUUUUUCCGCACAGCAACGCGGAUCUCUAUGGGGGCGAACUAGGUUCGACAUGCGUGGUAAAGGUGCGGUUUUUGCUCGGCAUGAUACCACCGUUAUCGGGUCAAAAACACAACUGCCAACGAUAAUCAAUUGGCACUCGCUGCUUAGAAUUUCUAGGUAAGCGCGGUCCGGGGGGCACCGGGCAACAGAAGCCCCUCACUGAUUACACUUUAUUCGGCCGUAAUAUGAACGAUAAUUG
RNAcentral lists this transfer-messenger RNA (340 nucleotides) under Alphaproteobacteria bacterium MarineAlpha9_Bin5. Its description in RNAcentral is "transfer-messenger RNA, SsrA". The stretch from base 2 to 302 matches the Rfam family "Alphaproteobacteria transfer-messenger RNA". From Rfam's summary of the family: Bacterial tmRNA, also known as 10Sa RNA or SsrA, is named for its dual tRNA and mRNA-like properties. The record is from RNAcentral. Lineage: Bacteria; Pseudomonadati; Pseudomonadota; Alphaproteobacteria.